AUCACCAGUAGCCAGCUCCACCCUUAGUGCUCUUGGUUUCAAUCAGGAGUCUAAAGAAGAGUCUUACGGUCGUUGGCCAUUUCAGAACUUUGGAAAUGUAAUGGUCAAUUCAUCAGAAAGAAACAUUA
RNAcentral lists this small nucleolar RNA (128 nucleotides) under Vicugna pacos (alpaca). Lineage: Eukaryota; Metazoa; Chordata; Mammalia; Artiodactyla; Camelidae. The record is from RNAcentral.